This 481-nucleotide ribosomal RNA is filed under the name uncultured bacterium. Its description in RNAcentral is "partial 16S ribosomal RNA". It matches the Rfam family "Bacterial small subunit ribosomal RNA", at positions 28 to 507 of the family's 1533-position model. The record is from RNAcentral.
GACGAACGUUGGCGGCGUGCUUAAUACAUGCAAGUCAACUGAAGCAGUGGUAGCAAUAUCGCUGUGGAGGUGGCGCACGGGUGAGUAACACGUAGGUAAUCUGCCUUCAGGUCUGGCAUAACUCCGGGAAACCGGGGCUAAUAGCAGAUGAUGCAGCGGCUCGACAUCGAGACAGUUGUUAAAGCUAUGGCGCCUGAAGAUGAGCCUGCGUCUGAUUAGCUAGUUGGCGGGGUAACGGCCCACCAAGGCAACGAUCAGUAGCUGGUCUGAGAGGAUGAUCAGCCACACUGGAACUGAGACACGGUCCAGACUCCUACGGGAGGCAGCAGUAAGGAAUAUUGCCCAAUGGGAGAAAUCCUGAAGCAGCAACGCCGCGUGAGGGACGAAGGGCUUUUGCUUGUAAACCUCUGUAGUGAGAGAAAAAAAUCCCAAUCUUUGGGACAUGAUGGUAUCUCAAAAGUAAGCCACGGCUAACUACGUG